Molecule: long non-coding RNA, 1509 nt
Organism: Papaver somniferum (opium poppy)
Lineage: Eukaryota; Viridiplantae; Streptophyta; Magnoliopsida; Ranunculales; Papaveraceae
Exons: 2
Source: RefSeq, a predicted model, not a curated record
CUAUAUGGGUCAGCAACAAAUGGAUGUAAAAAAAUGGGUUGAAGUUUAUGCCUUCCCAAUCUCGGUUUCUCCUUCACCUUCUUCAUCUUAUGCAAGGAUGCAGAGAUCUACUGAUAUGAAUGUAUCAAAUCCAGAUGAUAUAAGUAAAUUUCCAUUUAAUUUUUCCGAUAGAAAUUGUUUCAUGGUUGAAACCCUAACCCUCUUGUUACAGUUUAAAACCCUUAUUUCCGUCUUCUUAUUUAGAUACUAGGGAAUUCAAUCGAAUUAAAUAAUUUUUCUCGAAUUAAUUUUUCCUUCUUUGGAAACUGAAAUAGAAAUUUGAUUUAUUCCUACAGAAUUAAUUUAUAUUUUGGAGAGGUCAAACUGAUAUUGUGUUAAAUGUGAUGGUAUUUCAAGGAAAUUGAUACCAUUUUACCAGAAAUCCAUCCUCCUUGUUUGGUUUUUGGUCUGUAUAGUUAGGUUGUAAAACCCCCAUAUCAAUUGACUACAGGGUGCGAGAAAUUAGAUACAAACAAAUUUGAAAACCCUCAUACUAGAAACCCAUCCUUCAUUUUUUUGGUUUUUUGUCUGUGUAGUUAGGUUGUAAAACCCCCAUAUUAUAAAGCCACUGCGUUGUAUUUUGAUUAGUAUAUUGAUAUAGUAGAUAUUGGAAGAAUGUUUUUAUGAAUGGUUAGGUGUUGACGACAACGAUGUGGUUGAUGUUAUUUUGUGUCUGGCGGUAGAAUUAGUGAUCGGUCAGGCAAUGAACCCAGGUACAACGUUGGUAUGAAUAUGUUCCAAAAAAUGUCGAACUCCAUGUCCGUGGUUGAAUUUACCAAGAUGGUGUAUUAGUUGUUCCGUCUUAAAGCUAAAUCUUUCACACAAGUAGUUAUGAAUUUUCCGAAUGAUGCAGCGCAGCAUCUUGGUCAGUUGGUUUCUAAACCUACUUCUACAUUUAUUUAUAAUAAUUCCUCUUGGUUAAUGUAUAAUAAUUCCUCUUGAAAAUCAGUGAGCAGCAGGCACAUGCUGUAAUUGUUGUUAGAGCUACUUCAACAGCGCAAGUUUAAAGUGCUGUGUAUUACAGUUUGAAACACUCGUAUGCUAUUUUUUAUCUGGAACGUCAUCUUAACCCUGUAUCCUUUCGAAGUGUAAAUCAUAUAUCUCGGUUGUCAUGAGAAGGAGACAAAAUUUCCAUUUACAACUUGAUUUUUUGCAGCUACUAUAUUUUGAACAAGACGUGGAUGAAGGUUACAGGUUGGCUUUACAGAUGUAUUAGGGUCAUAUUCAUAAAGCGAAGCAAGGAGAUGAUUUCACAAAUGCCCAUGAUCCAUUAUAUGGAUUCUCCAAUCCAUCAUAUCCUGAGCUUGACUUUCACCAGGCUUAUAUUUAUUUAUAUUAAUGCAUUGCUUCAAUUUUCAAACCUUCCAAGUUUGCUGAAGUUGUAAGAUUUAAUGUUCUUCUUAACAAUUUCAAAGAAAUUUGAGGUAUUGUUCUUCUUUAUCUUAAAAGAAAUUAUUCUUAACAGUUUCA